UACGUAGGGUGCGAGCGUUGUCCGGAAUUAUUGGGCGUAAAGAGCUUGUAGGCGGUUUGUCGCGUCUGCUGUGAAAUCUCAAGGCUCAACCUUGAGCUUGCAGUGGGUACGGGCAGACUAGAGUGUGGUAGGGGAGACUGGAAUUCCUGGUGUAGCGGUGAAAUGCGCAGAUAUCAGGAAGAACACCCGUGGCGAAGGCGGCUCUCUGGGACGGUACUGACGCUGAGACGCGAAAGCGUGGGGAGCGAACAGG
RNAcentral lists this ribosomal RNA (253 nucleotides) under uncultured bacterium. RNAcentral describes it as "partial 16S ribosomal RNA". It matches the Rfam family "Bacterial small subunit ribosomal RNA", at positions 524 to 776 of the family's 1533-position model. The record is from RNAcentral.